CCUGGGGCAAGCCGGGUGCCAGUAGGCCACGUUGGGCGGCAGGGCGUGCACGGGAGUGCAAUUUCUCAGGGAAAGGGGUGUGCUCUUUGGGAUAUCUUUGAGUGAAGUGAGAUUCUCCAUAACAUCUAAGCUGUGGAUCUCACUGCUGCAGGAGCCUGCAGAUAAACAGAAAUUCUUGGCUCGGCAAGUCAAACUUGUAUUCGCUAGAUACUCUGUCCAUGGCCAGGGAUUCGAAGUGUUUCAGCACCAUCGCUGGUCCACCCUCCAAAGUUACACAGCAUCAGACUGACCAAGAAAUGGGGACUAAACUGCACUUAAUACAUCUGCUAUCCAGUCAUACACAGGAUUAAUCAAAAUGCCCCUGGCUUCUGGCAGAUACAACUUCUAAAGAGAGGAAUGCUUCAGGAUAUGCCUGUUGUCAUUAGGGAACAAACCCAUCCCAGCAACAGCACCAGCCAAUGGAAAGGAAACUUUGCUGUGAAAAUCGGAAGGAGCACAUGGAACAGCAGGGUGCAGGGCAGGAACUGGAAAGGCAAUUUUGCCUCUUCUGUGGUACUGUGGUUGUUGGCAACUGGAGAUGCACCCAAUCGCUGAGCAGUAAGGUGGACUUUGCUUCUUCAGCAAGUGUUUCUGACAUGUCUGAGUCACGCUGCCAGUGGAUCAUGUUCUCAAAUACUAUAUAGUCUAGAUCUACACAAUGCAGAUGUGUUGUGGUUCCUCUGGUUUAGGAGGCAGGUUACCUACUGGAUUUACUGUCUGCUUGAGGUGCCUGAUUCACUCCACAAAUCAUGGGGAGAUUCCCAUGAAAGGCAAGAUAGAGAAGAUGGAAGAUGUGGUACAUGUGGUAGCUGAUUGAAACCGUUAAGACGAUGGACUAUACAAAACAUCAUUCAUCCCUAUCUGUGGUUUCUUGAAACCUUUUGACAGACCUCUAUUUCUUUCUAUGCAAACUUGGUUUCAGUGGAGGUGAGUGCCUGUUCCUUUUCUUAUUAAAAAUGAAGUUGGGAGAAAGCAGCAGAUGUCUUGACUUUGCCCAAAGACCAGUGGGAAGACAUGCACAAUCUCUUCAGGUGUCUUAAAAUUGAGGCCAAGCCUGUUCCACUUCUGUGGGGUUUUUUUGUUGUGAUUUGCUAACUGUUCUGGUUCAUCCUCCUCCUUCCUCACAUGAACUUUAACUCUUCUACUUUAUACUUGAAAGUCUGGAUAGCUAGGUCUCGUCCAUUUUCAGCAGCAUCUACCAGCUCUCAUUCUGUUUGUCUUUGCGAUUUUAUAAUCUGGUUUCUUCACCUCAUACUGGAUUUUAGAUCCUUAAAGUGGUGGCUAAUCAGUGGGUUAAUUAAUUCUGCAUGGUAAGAUGGCAAGAAUAUUUUUUUCCACUAAAUUUUUAUGCAAGAAAGAAAAUACACAGGUCUAAAGAAAGGCUAAGAUAAAGAAUAUUUCUGUCCUAACACUUUAGUCACGUUCUACCCAUGACUGUGGUGACCUGAAUCAGUGAUACAGAUUUCCCUCUCUCUGAUGCCCUCUGGCAUCUGGGUUUCUAUCUUAGAAGUGUAAAUAGGUUUAGAAAUGGCACUUAUGGACAAUACAGUAUGGUUUUCCUUUCAAUUCAGGUGAGUAGCAUGAGAAGAGAACUGGGGCUAGUAGUUUCCUUCUUAUAGUCACAGUCUUGAUGGAAAAAUUGUAAAAACAAACACCUGUAAUUCCUGAACUAUCAGCUAAAGAAUCAAAAAUCAAUAGAUUUGGCAUUGGCAACUCAGCAAAUGUAUGAACUAAUCCUUAAUACUUGUGAGAAGGAAUCUCAUGAGCUAUGACAAACAGGAAUAACAUCAUAUCCGCACUGGUAAUUGGCUGACAGAUUCAUUGUCCUCAUUGCAAAUGUUUAUAGAUGUUAAAUCCAAGAGUUGUUAACUGUCAGAGUUAACAACAGGAGGAGCGACUAUGUCAAAUAACCAUCAAACUGACCAGUGUAAUCCAUUUUCCUUCUUGCAGAAAGAUUGCAAGCUAUAAUGUAAUGUACCUCCUGUUUAGUAGGCACUUCAUGGACUAUUGAUUUUAGUUCUAAAAAGAGUUUGCAUGCUGUUUCCAUUUGUCACCUUUGGAUAUCACCAGUACCAAAAAGGUAAAUUGCUCCAACCAUUUAGAUCCAUUAUACUAUUGAAAGAGCAAAGAUGGUUUCUAUAAAAUAAAUUCUUUAGCCUUGCUAGUGCUUUUUCUUCCCACAGUGAAGGACCUUCCUUUUAUCAUGGAAGACAUUGUUAAAGCAUCAUCAGUUCUCAUUUUCAAAGACUAGCUGUCUACAUGGCAUGGAACGAAGGAAUAUGUUAAAACUAUGAGCAACUGCAAAUAAAACUACCACACAGUCUCUAAUUGAGUGAAAGGCCAGUACCUGCUAUGGCAAAUAUGGACACAUCUGUGGCAUAAAAGAUCUGAUUUUUAUUUGAUUCUUCCAGGUCAAAAUACCAUUUCAUAUGAGAUUUCAUUUUUCAUUCUGUCUGGAUACAAUGCGAGAGGGCCAGAGAAAGAACAGCAGCCUACAAUCAAUUCUUUCUUCUUAGAGCAUUUCAAAGGCAGAAUUCGAUGAGCUGUACCUAGUGGGAGUAUUGUAACAAACUGUGUGCACAACCACUGCACUUGAGCAUUGGGUAAAUGGUUUCCUGAUUUAUGGUUUCACUUUUCUUCUUAGUCAUACAUUAUCAGUCUGAAAGAAGGUACGACAAAAGAUGUUUGAUUGCUCUCCAAUUAAUUAAUGUGCAUCCUUCAGUAAACGUUUAGUUAAUCUGCCUGCUUGGAAGGCAGAAGGAGGGAGAUGAUAGAAUAUUUCUGUUAAUGCUUGCUGGUCUGUGCCUGCUAUCCUGCAAAGAAUAAGAUCUUGUGGUAAAACAUUUUUGAGCUACUGAAUUCAUAUCUAACGGAUAGAUUACGACAGCACUUCUCUGUUUGAAUAAACAGCUAGAACACUUCAAUUUUUUUUUUUUUUUUUCCCCAUGGGCAGACCAAUUUUCAGCAUAUCCCAUUUCUUUAAUCAGUUCACUAGACUAUAUCAAAGGACAUAACCAGGCAGGUCAGGAGAUAGCUUGAAACUUAACUAUGCUCUUCUUUAUUUAAUUCACUUCUACCACCUCCCCCAAGUUUCAGACUCUUCUUUCCUGCAGCUUACAUGAAUGCAAAAAAGCAGGAGAAAACACAGGACAAGACUGUUCUUCAGCCUAUGUGAGGUAUUGCUCCACUUCUCUUUUCUUCUAGUGCUUUGUUCUGUUAUUUCUGAUGUAACAGGUUUUGAAGCCUUGGAUAUUCAUAUCCUUAUCACAGCAAAAGACAAGAUCACAGCAAAAGAUAAGUAUGCUUGGGUCAAAGCACAAAGGUGCAAGGCAAAGCUGUAAGCAAACUAAAGGAGCAACUUAAGUGCUUGUAAAUUACCUGCAGUGUGCUGUGCUUCAUUAAUUUUUGCUCUUUACAUGCCUCUUCUCAUGUCUGGCUUUGAAGCACUGGUGGAAAGUCACAGUGCUGUAAUGAAUAGGACACAGUGCUCUACUUCAUGCACUGCGUGUGUGUCUUUCACAGGAGGGAGAAUUUUGCAAUCCCAUCACUGCGAUCACUGCAAUGAAGAAGCGUUACUGUUUGGAAUCUUGUGAAACGAGUAACAACACUGACAAGAAAGAAAAAAAAGAAACUGAUUUUUUUUUUUUCUAGUACUUAAAACUUUUGGCAGAGGAAAAUCUCAUUUUCUUUUGGUUUCUAAAACAACGCUGAUGUUCUUCUGUCUUUUCCCUCUAUUCAGGUAAGAUUGCUGGUGAUGUAUUGGUGAGGACCACUGACUUCUGGGAUUUUGCCUGGAAGUCUGAAGUUCAUAUAGCUCCCUAUUUUAUGUGCAUUUGUAUUAGCCACUGCUGAAGUACUUAUAAUAGUAAAUCCUAUGUUAUUGGCAAUUAAUUCAGUCUUCAACGAUUAAUUUAGAGUCUUCAGUACAUUGACAUUCUGCCUAGGGAAGGUUGUUUUUCCUAAGUAAACCAAAAAGUGAAGUCUCAGCAUUCCACAAGCUGUGCACCCUGCUGGAGCUGUUAAAAUAGGCACCACAACAAAGUUGUUGUGAAAACUAGAAGCUUAGUGAGCACCUGACUUUUUUGUAAACAGUUUCUUCAUCAAACAGGGGAGCUGACCUACUUUGCAUGUGACCUUUUGGCAGGAUAGCACCUUCCAGUGGAACCACACCAGCCACCGAAGAACCUUAGCAAGAACCUCAUAUUAACACAGUGCAUAUAUAGCAUGAAAUUCUAGUAUGAAUAGCAAUUCUGAGAAUAGGCAGGCACUAAAACAUCAUUGUUUCAUCAGUUCUUUUUUAGGCCUGAAUGUGGCAUAAAUAUGUCUGCUUCUGGAUAGAGAUAUAGUAAAGAAGUUAUGAACAAAUUACACCUGUAGACAGAAAAAUUCAAGUACAUAUCCCUAAAGACAAAGCCAUAGAGGCCCAGGUCUCUGUGUUACAGGAAUCACCUUCUGAAUCUGAAAUAGCUGAGGAAGUAGAAGACAUGGUAAUGCUAUUGUUAUGAGCUAGAGGAACCUCAGGAUGAUCAAGGUGGACCAAAUGAGUGAUUGUACAACUGUAGCUGAACUCCAAACUGGUCAAGAAAAAACAUUCAAACUGUUUGUGCAUGAAAGGCUGCAUAGUGCCCUGGGAGUUCUGGCACAGAGACAGAUUAUUGAGAGCACUGGAACUACUAAAAAGAAAAAAAGGCAACAUAUGGAAUGAUUCAAAAUUUACAUUUGAAGUAGUGCAUGCCCAUAGAGUACUACAGAAGGAAAGAGGAGUGCUAUCCUACCAGGGAUCACAAAUGAAGUAUGGACCCGUUAUUAUAGAAUUACUGGAAAGUGUACUGCCUCCUCAGAAAGUUGCCAUAAUGCAUUGUAAAGCACAUCAGUUCAAUAACACUCCAGUGAAUUACAGCAAUUGACUUGCCAAUAGAGCUGCAGAAGUAGCCAUGGAAGGAACUCUUAUUAUUAAUCGCGGACAAAUAUAAAUAAUUAGGAAAAGAAACCCCAGAUUACCAAGCUAAAGAUGAGAGACUGGCAACACUAUGAAAAGUGGUUAAAGAUGGCAAAGUGUGGUAGAUAACUCCAGAUAAAUAGACAAUUAUCCCUCAAUCUCUUAUGAAUAAACUGGCAGAAGAUUAUCAUUGACGUACUGGGGAAUAGAGGCAACCACCAGAAGUAUGAGACACCAAGUUUAAGUGUGUGAAUGGCAGGAAUCAUAGUGUUGUGAAAAAAUGCGAUCUGCAUUUGAAAAACAAUCCCCAUCCACCUAAACAGCCUCCACUCAGAACAGCUAAGAAAGGAAAGCAUCCAGGAGAUUAUCAGCAGAUGGAUUUUUGUGGAUUGCUGCGGUGAUGUGAGUAUGGGUAACAUACUGGUACUAGUAGAUACUUUUUCUUGGGAUGGCCAGACGCUUUUCCCUGUUACACCUACAGAGCUCCUGAAGUAGUAAAGGUUUUAUUAAAAGAAAUUACACCCAGAUUUGGGGUACCUGCAAGGAUAUCUUUAGAUACAGAUCCACAUUUCAUCACAGAAAUAGUGCAAAACCUAGCUAGAAUUAUGCUAAAAUGUAAUCACCAUGCUCUGAGGAGAUCUCAGUCUAGCGAUAACACAGAAAGAAUGAAUCAGAGUUUAAAAAGCCAAAUAGGCAAAAUAUGCCAAGAAUCAAAAUUAAAAUGGCCAAGUGCCUUACUUGCCUUACUAAGAAUCAGGAUGAGGUCCACUUCUAAAGAAAAGAUCAGUCUGGUCUAGUACCAUAUCUGGUGGUUGGUGGUCCUGCCUGUGUCAGGGGGUUGAAACUUGAUGGCCCUUGGGGUCCCUUCCAACUCCAGCCAUUCUAUGGUUGGUCUUCGUAAGAUUUCAUAUGGGAAUCUAUAGGAGAGGGAGGUGAUAUUCGCCACCUUGAGGAACAAAAGGCUAAAGAAUAUGUGAUAUCUUUGAGAAGUGUUUUGUCUUUUCUCUGCAGGUAUGUUGUACGUGCACGCUUACCGCUGGAUGGACCUGUACACUGGUACCAACCUGGAGAUUGGGUGUACCCGACAACAUAGCUAGAUGAAGAGAAGUGGAGAGGACCCUUCCAGAUCUAAUUCACCACCCACGCAGCAGUCAGACUCAAUGGAGUCAGCCUAUGUAUUCAUUACAGUAGAGUCAAGGCACCUGCAACAUCAGGAUAGACUGUCAAGAAAGAAGGACCAUUGCAUUUGCAAUUAACUCAGGCUGUGUAAGACUAGGUUCUAUGUUUCUUAUAAUGAUAAGUAAUGCAUUUAUUUAAAGUGAGGGAAUUAAUAUGAAAGUGAAAAUCUGGUUUUAACAUUAAUACAAGGGUUUGGUGGGAUGUGCAAUGUCACUAGCAUCUGCAUAGUGGUAAUUAUAAGAGGUAGAGGACUCUGUAGAAGAUGUAUUAAAAGGUAUUUUGAAAGAAAUAUGUGAAAGUAAUUAGAAGAACUAACUACUUCCCAAGGGGUCAAUUGCUACCUGGCAAUUAAUUAACCACAGGCCCCUUACAAGGACCCCAUACUAACACAGAGCAUGCAUAAUAUUAGAUUUUAAUAUAGCAAUUCUUGAAAUAGGCAGGCACUCCAUGGAAAAUGUAUGAAUAUUCGCACAUGUUCAAUAUAUAUAAUCUGCAUGCUUUUAGUUCCUGGCUAUGCACGUUAGGUGGAUCCCGUGCAUCUGGUCACAAUAACAAAUGCCUGCUUUUUAAUGCUA
Molecule: long non-coding RNA, 6732 nt
Organism: Centrocercus urophasianus (Greater sage-grouse)
Lineage: Eukaryota; Metazoa; Chordata; Aves; Galliformes; Phasianidae
Exons: 7
Source: RefSeq, a predicted model, not a curated record